Molecule: long non-coding RNA, 531 nt
Organism: Ictalurus punctatus (channel catfish)
Lineage: Eukaryota; Metazoa; Chordata; Actinopteri; Siluriformes; Ictaluridae
Source: Ensembl
CUCGGGUUAGUACACUCGGGUUACUACACUCGGGUUACUACACUCGGGUUAGUACACUCGGGUUAGUACACUCGGAUUACUACACUCGGAUUACUACACUCGGAUUACUACACUCGGAUUACUACACCGGGUUACUACACUCGGGUUACUACACUCGGAUUACUACACUCGGAUUACUACACUCAGGUUAGUACACUCAGAUUACUACACUCAGAUUACUACACUCAGAUUAAUACACUCAGAUUACUACACUCGGGUUACUACACUCAGAUUACUACACUCAGAUUACUACACUCAGAUUCUACACUCGGGUUACUACACUCGGGUUAGUUCACUCGGGUUAGUUCACUCGGGUUAGUACACUCAGAUUACUACACUUUGUGAAUUAAAGCUGUAUUGACUUGUCUUAGUGCUAAACAAUAUACAUCUGUAACUGGUAUGCUACAAAUGAUCAAUAAUAAUCAUCUGAUUCAAAACAAAUGGCACCAAAAUGGCAUUGGAUUUCUUAUUAAUGUACAUAAAUCCUGCAUG